CACCAUAGAGCAUAAUACACUACAACAAAGGCAAGAAAAAGACAAGAAUUACUGUGGAAAAUGACACUGGAACUCUAACUCUUUUUCUCCCAAACCUUCAGAAUUAAGAAAGGAAAAUCAUCUCUGAUAUAGAGUCAUGAGUGUGCACCCUCACUACUCUUAUCAAGAUGUUUUCUGUUCCCAAUACUUCUGGUUAGAUACAUAACUUUACUAUCUAGACUUGGAAUAAAUGGUAAACCAUACCAUUUAGACUCAACUCUUCACAGAGAAGACAAGAUAAACCUGCAACACACAAGUCAUCACAAGGACAAACUGCUCUGAUACCAUAAAUGUGACAUCCCAAUUAUAUUAUAAACAUAAUAUAAUAAAGGCGUCACCAUGAGUAAUACUAGAAAGCAGUUAAAGAGUACUUUAGGUUCUUAAACAAAGAUUACCGUUAUCCAGAAAGUGGCUAAAAAUUUAAAACUUAAAGUGCUAAAGUAUCACAAAACAGCAUAAUGUAACAGUGUUUCAAAAGUACAUAUAGGAAAAGAAAUCCUAAAGGAUCUAAGCCUCAACAUCUUCAUUGCCCUCCAAGACGUUCUCCACAGAGACCUCAUUCUCCUCUGCUCACAUCCAAGUGGAUGAUCAUUGCAAAAGAAAAGCAUACAACAUGGCACAAACACAAGCAAAUGCAAGUGUGAGCUAAUUAUAUAAAAAAGUAUGCUAUUAACAGUAAAUAACAUUCAAGAACAAACUCAAAAUCAAGUAAAGUAAGACACACAUCCUAUACAUGUUAUUUUCUAGACUUGACUCGUCUGGACUUUAGAAUGAUAGUCAAGCUAUGGCAGGCAAAGCGCCCGUGGUGGCUUGUGAUACUGAGCUCCCCCGCCCUAGGCUCCCCCGCCCUGCCACACUCACGAGGUUAGUUUGUUCCGUGCCCUGAAGCAUGAUGGAAGCCUCCAAGACUCAGACCUCCUGCUACUCCUCACCACACAGUCCAGUCCUCUCUACGUGAGAAGAAAGGCCAUUGGAGCGUCAGGAAGACCCCCAAGACUGAACUCCUACUUUCAUUCUAAAACACUAAGAAUCUCACUAUGAGAUUCUACACAUAUGGAACUUGGUUUACCACUUGGAUCGUACUUUCAUCACUUUGUAAUCAUAUACUUUUUUUUUUCCAAUCAACAUAUACAUAAUCUCAACAAUAUACAUUACUCACAAAUCACAAGUUAUGAAAGUAACUGCUCCAUAAUUGAAUUUCAGUAGUAGAUAUUAACUCGUCAAACACAAGGUUUUACUUCAACAAAUAAAAUAUUACCACAACACAUAAAAAUUAUGCAACUUUUAUAAUUUAUUUUACAUACAUAAUAAUUCCUCAUUUGUUUCAUCUCUUAAUUUAUAUGUUUAUUUACUAACAAAACAUAAAACUACUAUUAUAAUGAUAAUAGUAUAUAAUUUAAAUUUAUGCCAGUCAAUAAAUUAAUUAGAGGUUAAACUUACAGAAUUCUAAUAUUAAUAUAUUAUAAUAUAAUAUUAACAAAACUAAGUUAACAUUUCUAUACUGUUAUAUAUCUAAUAUAUAUACUAAUCUGUAUAAGUUGAUAAUUAUUAUAUAAUAUAAAAGGUUCACCACAAAAAUUAUAGAAUAAGCAUAUUAUGUAAUAUAUAAUAUUAUGAAAUAUAUAAUAUAACGUAAUAUACUAUUUAAUCUUAGCAUUGCUAUUUCCAAAACUAAGUUACAGUAUUCCUAUCCUUUAAAAGGUUUUCCCAAACUUUUAAAAAAGAACAAGUAUGAUUCAUUUCUUUAAUAAAAGCAUCACAUAAACUAAGAAUUGUUUAUACAAGGUCUCUGCAUCACGUGAUCAACCAAUUUAAACAUAAAUUAUACAUCAUAGAAUAUAAAAUACAAAAUAUAUUUAACAUUAUACAAUCUAAUAUUUUUUUUCAGAAUAUAUAACUUAAAUUAUAACUUUUGUAUUUUAAAUUGUCUAUUUCAAAAUAAAAUAAAUAUAUUUUAAAUUGUAUAUUUUAAAAUCUAAGAUAAAAAUACAUUAUAAAAAAAUGCUUAAAUUUACUUAUAAAUUACAGAAUCCUUAUGGAAUCAUAAUAUUUAUGAAGAUUAUGGAAGUGCAAGAAAAUAUAUUCAUAAGACAUACUAAGAAAUUUUUACAUGGCACUGUAAAGAUAUAAAAAUAUAAAUCACAUCUCCUCUGCCAAUUCACAACACUUCUUCCUUUUUAUAUUUCUCAAACAAUCUUACAGUACCCAUACUUAUAUAAUAAAUAUGCAGAAAACUCCAUUCCUCUUAUCUUCACUAAACCCAUCUAUAUUUCAACAAUCAAUCCCAUCAUAACAACUUACAACCAAUACAUUUUUACAUGCACAAUUUUCAGAAUCAUAACACAAGUCAAUUUAUACUCAACAGGUACAUAACAGUUUAAAUCAACACAUAAUUCAGGAUUCAACAUGCAUAUAUCUCAUAAAUUAAUUUCAAACAAAAAUAACUAGCUUCCCUUACCUUGGGUUUUCACGGUAAGCUAAUUUGAAGACUUCCUAAUAGAAAUUCUCACCCGAACAGAAAAACAACAGUACCUAUAAACCACCAUAUCGGCGGUAGAGAAUAACUCUUGGAGUGAGAACUUAACAGAAAUUAGAAAAAGGAGGGUUCUAACUGCAUAAAAUCAGUAGAACCCCAAGCUCUAAGUUUCGAAAAUAGUGGAGAAAAGGAGAAAAUAUACUUACCGGUCGGAAUGGAAGAACGCCCGGUUCAAAUUGAAGCCCUCGGUGCAGUGAGCAAGGAAACACUUUCAAAUUAAAAUUUGAUCGGUUCAAUGAAUAGAAAUUUAGAGAGAAGACAGAGCAAUAUUUGGGAAAAAGGGUUUGAGAGAGAGUGGAAA
Molecule: long non-coding RNA, 2876 nt
Filed under: Vigna radiata
Lineage: Eukaryota; Viridiplantae; Streptophyta; Magnoliopsida; Fabales; Fabaceae
Description: long non-coding RNA (VRAD_LNC012207)
Source: RNAcentral